AAUUAUUAAUUAUAUAUGUAAAAGUAUGAAUCAUCGCGGUUUCUUCCAUUUUAUAUGUUAACAAAUAAAGUAUCACUUUGAAUAGGUAUAUGGAUAUAGAAUGUCACUUUGGGCAGAGCACCUUGGAUGCAUCGAGAAUUGCUUCAAAGAUCCCCAGAAUUUGGAAUGUGUGAAGUACAUAAAUAAUGUUGCUGAAGAUAACUGGAAGAAAUACACAGCUGAGGAGUACAGUCCGCUACAAGGGCACAUUCUUAAAUAUCCAGUGAAAAUCGAAGCUGAUGGAAAAAUAAACCCAUUGCCUGGACACAAUUUAUUUCCAGAUGUUGGUGGUCGAGUGCUAGGGAGUAUGACCAUUCUGCCUGAUGUAAUCACUACUUAAGUAUACUCUAGAUUUAAUUUCAUUAUUUAAAUCAUUUUCGAUCGAUAUGAAUGAAGUUCAUCAACAAUAAUUGAAUCUCUUUAUUA
Erythranthe guttata (spotted monkey flower) is the source of this 465-nucleotide non-coding RNA. NCBI's taxonomy places the organism in Eukaryota, Viridiplantae, Streptophyta, Magnoliopsida, Lamiales, Phrymaceae. The record is from RefSeq and is a predicted model, not a curated record.